GCGAGGGCGUCAUACACCGGCAGAUUCACCGGCAAGAAACAAUGCCGCUGUGCAAGAUUAGAUAGAAUGCCCGUCUCGAUAUACACCUACACAUGAGGAGAAUACGAUUUUAUUAAUAGAAUUUUUCAAAUAUUAUACUGAAGUAUCAAGCUGGUGACUACGUUCUUCAACUAAAUUAUCUCGUGUAUCAAGAGAGAGUAGAAGAAGUAGCUUCCGACGUCUGUCUACGACAAUUUCGGGCAUGAAGUUAACAGCGUGGAAUUCUGUGUGCAUCCUGAUAGUUGUCUUCUUCCUAACGGUUGCCACGUCUGCAUAUCCUGCUGGCAAUCCAGAGAUAACGUAUAACUUGCAGGCGAUUGAGAAUAUGCGACAGAUCCCACAGUGGCACUGUUUACGCUAUAGAAAAUUCGAUCUCGUACGCCGCUGUCGGAAUUACCGUUUAGGAAGGAAACACUGACAAAAACAAACUCAUCGCAAUCCCGUAUGGACGACCGCAACGAAUAAGUCACAAUAUUUCAAGUUUCAUCGACCAGCUGUUCUAAAUGUUCUGCUGCAAAUACUUAAACUUAUAUAUAAAUGAAAUGAGAUGUGGCACGUCAUAUUAACACUUUGGAAUUACUUAUGAACUUAGUUGAUAAAUGCAACUUGCAUAGAUUAUAAUUUAAUUCUUCGCGUCUCGUUAUUUACUGCAAGACUGUAUUUCCAAGACUUCAAAAUUUAUCUUCAUCUUUUAAUUUGUAUAAAAUAGAAACAGGAAAGAAAAUAGAUAAAAAGAUGAGAAUAUCUUACGGGAUUAACAGUUUCCAUUUUCCUAAGAUUAAAACUUCGAUAAAGAUUACUCUAUAUUGUAUUAAGUUAUUAAUAUUACUUGUACUUCUAUAUUUCCUACUUAAUUAUUUAUACUAUAUUGUACGAGAAAUUGUGUAUAUAUAAACGCUCUUUGAUCUCAUUGUAAGAUGAGAAUAUGUUCUAGAAUAAAAUUAUUUUUUCUAUCACGAAAUUAUUUUGAGAUGAAUAUCACCUACCUGGCGGAUCAUACAUCUUCUAAUUAUAACAUAAAUAUAUAAUUAAAAUAUAAAUUGCAAAGGUAUAUUUUUUUUUACUUACCUCUUUCACCAUUCCUUUUCCUGUUCUCAGUUGUUCGUGCAUAAAUGGAGCGGGUACUUCCUUGUCUGUGGUAGUCGUGCUCGCUAUUAAAUUGCUAAAGGCGGUCGCAGGAACUAUUGCAUUCGUAGAUAAAAUUUCAAGAGAAAUAGUCACUUCGGAUUCUGGUUCUAACGUUAAUAAUUCCUAUUUAUAAAACAAUUAAAUAUAUAUAGUACAUAUAAUCAUUGUAUUGGAUGAUUCAAUAAAUGUACAGAUAUUUUGUAUCAACACGUUUUGCAUACAUUUGCCGUGUACGUACUUGAUUAGAAUCUAAAAAGAAAAGCUGCGAUUUUCGUUGCCACAAUCUGUA
RNAcentral lists this unclassified non-coding RNA (1456 nucleotides) under Bombus terrestris (buff-tailed bumblebee). RNAcentral describes it as "misc RNA ENSBTSG00005029170.1". The record is from RNAcentral. Lineage: Eukaryota; Metazoa; Arthropoda; Insecta; Hymenoptera; Apidae.